UCAACGCUAGGCUCGAGCGACCGGCACUUAACCCAUCUCCCUUAUCUCCUACCUCUGUCAUGGUCUCACCCAUCCCGGCUUGUCUCCUGCAAGCUGAUCCGCACCCGUCGGGGCCCUGAGGCUACCUCCCGGUGCUGCCUCUUCCAACUGCGCCGGGCCACCCUGAAAAGCUUCGCUCCGCCAUUGCCUCACUGGAUAUACGCAGGUCAGGUUGCCUCUCUCCCCGGCUUUCUCCCUUCUUCUCUCUCUAAUCUCGUUCUCUGUCUCGCACGUUUUCUCCAGGGAGCCCGCCAUGCCUCUCCGUCUUCGUCCGCCGCGCCGAGACCGCCUCCUGCUGCCGGGAGCCUGCUCUGGAGCCGCCGCCACUGAAGGCCGGCCGACGGCGAGCAAGGCCGGCCAACGCGCGCGGGUCCCUUCAUUGGCUCCAGCAAGCUCGUCGGCGGCGGGGACCAUAAGAUCCCUGUGCCAGCAGCCUCGGAUCUGGCCCGAUUCGUACGUCCACGACCUCCGCGACCUGCGCAUGCCCCUUGGUCCGGCCUAGAUCCCGCGCCGCUUCGUCUGUUCGUGUUGACCCCGAGGAGUCGUAUCUUCGGCAGACCACCACCAGUGGCUUCAUCCCUGUAUCUUCAGAUGGGCUCUCUUCUCUUUGAUUUGUUCUUGUCCCUCAUUUCCUUCUUGAUUUGUUUCCUUCUUGAUUUUGGAGACCGUUUGUUGAUUUUCUAGGGCGUACGUAUAUGAACUGGUAAGAUCAGAUGUAAAGUAGCGAGGUGGGAUUAUUUGAUGGAAGAAAGAUUCUCAACACAGAGCUAGGUCUUUUUUUUUUGAGAAAAAGAGAUGCAGGCCGGCAAUGUACAAAACUUGAGCGCAAAGAACAAACAAACGAUGGGCUAGAAGGCAUGCAGCGGCAAAGAACAUAUGGGCUGCUUCGUUUGUAGGCUCAACAAUUAGGAUGUAAAUUCACGGGAAACCGAAAAUUACCUAAGCAAAAAAUUAGUACCACCUCGAAUAUGGGUUUUUCCGAAACUGAAAGCGUAAACUUACGGGAAGAAGCGUAUUGUGACGGUGAACCCGAAGACCCAAUCUGUG
Molecule: long non-coding RNA, 1086 nt
Filed under: Triticum aestivum (bread wheat)
Lineage: Eukaryota; Viridiplantae; Streptophyta; Magnoliopsida; Poales; Poaceae
Description: long non-coding RNA (TAES_LNC007073)
Source: RNAcentral